This 1057-nucleotide long non-coding RNA is filed under the name Sinocyclocheilus grahami. Its description in RNAcentral is "lncRNA (ENSSGRG00000003214.1)". The record is from RNAcentral. Lineage: Eukaryota; Metazoa; Chordata; Actinopteri; Cypriniformes; Cyprinidae.
AACAUCUUUAAGAAAGAUAAAUAAUUAAGAACAUGAACUUUUUUACACAGGCCAACAUUUGUAACUGACUAGCGUUGAGGAUUUUGGAGCAACAAGAGCUCUGUAAAACAGAUGUCCAAAAAAGACUGCCUCUGCAAAGUGAAACCUCUCUCUGUUGUCUACUUUUGGGUUGAAAGUCUCAAUCACUUGGUCAGGUGUCACACAAGCUUCACAGGUAAGAUGUACACUAAUCCAGCUCUGUCAUUCCUUCUUAAGAACCUUAGUUCCAGUGCCUCCUGCUCUCGGUUAUUAACAAAUCCGACAAACUGCCUGAAUGAUUUGUUUGCCUUGAAUUGGACCAAGACACAGUCUCCAGUUUUGAUGUUCUUUGCAGCUGUUGACUGAUGCUCACAGGACUGGUGUUCGGGACUUUCAGCAGAUGUGAUUUCCGAGAGCAGAAAUGUAUGGACACCGGACUGUUCUGCCUCGGAGUAGAUUUUGUGACGCACUUUUCCCCAGGAGACUGGCUCCAUGUGAUGUACUGAUUGAGUGCCUGGAACAGCUGAGGAAAUGGCCCAUCUCUCAUUUAGCUUAUGAUGCUGUAUAAAAUCUGCGAUUUCGUUGGAUGUAAUGAGUUUGAUGUUGAUGUUUGGGCAACUCUUCCUUGCAGAAGCUACAAAUGAAGCAGCAUCUGUCACAAGGACUGCCUGUCUGCUGAGGACAUCAGUGUUAACUGCACGCUUCACUGUUGCUCCUACACCGUCCACUGCACCUUUGCCGUGGCUUGUGGCAAAGAAGUGCCACUGUACUCUUAAAGCUGGAAACAGCUCCUUGAAUGUAGUUGACAUGAAACACCAGAUGAACUUGUUCUUAAACUGAGAAGCAGCUCCAUCACUAAAUAUGUUAAUCUCUUUCAUUGCAGGAUGUUUCAUUUUAAUGUCCUCCACAAUCUUGGAGAGGAAGGUUGCCACAGACCUCUUGUGGUGUUCCAGGCUGUCACUCACUAUGGCAUAUGACUCAGGAUCUCCAUCAGACCACAGGACUGAGGAAAACACUGUGACCUGCUUCUGAUGCCAGU